RNAcentral lists this ribosomal RNA (1437 nucleotides) under Salmonella enterica subsp. enterica serovar Typhimurium var. 5-. RNAcentral describes it as "partial 23S ribosomal RNA". It matches the Rfam family "Bacterial large subunit ribosomal RNA", at positions 744 to 2077 of the family's 2925-position model. Lineage: Bacteria; Pseudomonadati; Pseudomonadota; Gammaproteobacteria; Enterobacterales; Enterobacteriaceae. The record is from RNAcentral.
GUUGAAGGUUGGGUAACACUAACUGGAGGACCGAACCGACUAAUGUUGAAAAAUUAGCGGAUGACCUGUGGCUGGGGGUGAAAGGCCAAUCAAACCGGGAGAUAGCUGGUUCUCCCCGAAAGCUAUUUAGGUAGCGCCUCGUGAAUUCAUCUCCGGGGGUAGAGCACUGUUUCGGCUAGGGGGCCAUCCCGGCUUACCAACCCGAUGCAAACUGCGAAUACCGGAGAAUGUUAUCACGGGAGACACACGGCGGGUGCUAACGUCCGUCGUGAAGAGGGAAACAACCCAGACCGCCAGCUAAGGUCCCAAAGUCAUGGUUAAGUGGGAAACGAUGUGGGAAGGCCCAGACAGCCAGGAUGUUGGCUUAGAAGCAGCCAUCAUUUAAAGAAAGCGUAAUAGCUCACUGGUCGAGUCGGCCUGCGCGGAAGAUGUAACGGGGCUAAACCAUGCACCGAAGCUGCGGCAGCGAACGUAUCACCCAAGACAACUUUACGGAGUUGACGAUUGACGGAGCGAAGCGACGUCAAAGCGUUCAUUAAAGUCGAGUUGGCUUAGGGAUACGUUCGUUGGGUAGGGGAGCGUUCUGUAAGCCUGUGAAGGUGUGUCGUGAGGCAUGCUGGAGGUAUCAGAAGUGCGAAUGCUGACAUAAGUAACGAUAAAGCGGGUGAAAAGCCCGCUCGCCGGAAGACCAAGGGUUCCUGUCCAACGUUAAUCGGGGCAGGGUGAGUCGACCCCUAAGGCGAGGCCGAAAGGCGUAGUCGAUGGGAAACGGGUUAAUAUUCCCGUACUUGGUGUUACUGCGAAGGGGGGACGGAGAAGGCUAUGUUGGCCGGGCGACGGUUGUCCCGGUUUAAGCGUGUAGGUGUGUGUUCCAGGUAAAUCCGGUUCACUUUAACACUGAGGCGUGACGACGAGGCACUACGGUGCUGAAGCAACAAAUGCCCUGCUUCCAGGAAAAGCCUCUAAGCAUCAGGUAACAUCAAAUCGUACCCCAAACCGACACAGGUGGUCAGGUAGAGAAUACCAAGGCGCUUGAGAGAACUCGGGUGAAGGAACUAGGCAAAAUGGUGCCGUAACUUCGGGAGAAGGCACGCUGACACGUAGGUGAAGUGAUUUACUCAUGGAGCUGAAGUCAGUCGAAGAUACCAGCUGGCUGCAACUGUUUAUUAAAAACACAGCACUGUGCAAACACGAAAGUGGACGUAUACGGUGUGACGCCUGCCCGGUGCCGGAAGGUUAAUUGAUGGGGUCAGCGCAAGCGAAGCUCCUGAUCGAAGCCCCGGUAAACGGCGGCCGUAACUAUAACGGUCCUAAGGUAGCGAAAUUCCUUGUCGGGUAAGUUCCGACCUGCACGAAUGGCGUAAUGAUGGCCAGGCUGUCUCCACCCGAGACUCAGUGAAAUUGAACUCGCUGUGAAGAUGCAGUGUACCCGCGGCA